CCAAAAUUAUGCAAAUUAAUUAUGUUACUUAAGAUGUCUAGUCAUGUAUUAUUUUACCUAGUUAAGUAUGUAUAUGUUAGUAACUUGAUUAGAAGGAAGGUUAUAUGACAAAUAAAAUAUCUAAGUAAAUAGGAGGACUAAACUUGUUAAAAGGUUGAAAGUUUAAUAAAUAAAAGAAAAAAAUAAAAACACACACCCUGGUGUGAUGGCGUGGAUCGAUCAGAGCAAAGGGGGGAGAAGACAAACCCUAACUUCAUGAAAUUCUCAAGAAUUGAAAGAGAAUAGGAGCCCAAACUAAUGCAUGAACUCGAAACCUCAAUCAUCUAAGCUUGUACAACAAGCGGAACGUGUCAAGGAGAGGUCAAGCAUAGGAGGAUAACGGGUCAAGAUAAGGCAAGAUGACAAAUACACGUAUUGGAGUACUCGAGGUAAGUGAAUUUCGAUUCACUUUUUAGUAGGUUUAAUAGAUUUUAAUACUUAUGUUUACGAAACAUCAUGAAAGAACAUGUAAUAAUCAGAAGUACAAAGCCAAUAAUGCCUCAUUAUUGAAGAAGGUUGUAUUUAAGCCGAAAGUAAAUUGGUGGGUUUAAACGGGUCGAAUUUUAUGUGCAUAUGUUGCGUAAUGAAAUGAAAUUCGUUAUGGUUAAGACCUUGGGUAAGAAUUUUAGUCAUUAUGUAAGGGGAACAUUUCCCGGACCAUUAGGGACAAGUUUUAUAUGAUUCGGUUGUCGGUCAAUGAAUGAACGGAUUGUUUCGUUUUAGUGUAGGAAAUUUUAUAAGUAUAUGUGUAUAGGAAUCCAAAGGCCACGUGGGUUGAAUCGUAGAUUGUCUAUACUAUGUAAAGUUUUGAAUGUGACAUUCCGGCAUAAACCUACAUGUAAAAGAAGCUUGUGUAUAUAUUCGUGAUUAAUUGAUUUUGCGAAGGAAGGAACAUUGGCAUGAAUGAAGGUACGCACAUAUAUAUAUAAGUGUAUAUAUAUAUAUAUAUAUGUAUGUAUGUAUGAUAAUAAGUUCGUAGGUGUGAAUGUAUGUGUGAAUGAAUGUUCAAUGCUUAAGACAUAUGCAUGAACGUAUCAAAGGGUUCGAGUAUUUAUGGAUACUAAUGAUGUGCGUUGAGUUGGAAUGUAAUGUAGGUAUGGGGUCGUUGGCUUCAUGAAGAAAUGGAGCUGGAUUUGGAUAAGAGUAUUUAAGAAACCGCUUGGACAAUUCCACGACUACUUUAUAGAAUGCUCUACGAAAUUUUAUUAUAUAGUUUAAUGUUGAAUGGUAUGUUAAUAACUAAUGGUUUGGUUGUACGUGGUGUCCACAGGUAUCGCUUGGGUUUUCUCUACUUUUAUUGAAGUGAAGCGGACUUAGUUCGAGUUGAGAGCAAGGAUUGUACGGGGUAGAAUGGUCACAUAGUGUAACUCAUAUAGGUUUUGAAGUAUUAAUGUUAUAAAACGUUAUAAAUCCGUUUUAAUGAAUAUAUGGCAUUUCGCAUUUGAACUUUCAUGUGUUUGAUAUGUCUAUUAAAGAACGAAAUUUUUGGGCUCUUGUUUUCCGCUGCGUCGUAUUUUAAGUUAUUACGCGUUAGUCUUACAGGGAAUUGUUCUUAUUACGAACGGGUCAUGCCCGAAUUUUGUUAAAUAAUAGUAUGAUAAUAUUACAUUUUGGAAUGUGUAAUUUGGGCGUAACAAGUUGGUAUCAGAGCCCUGGUUUGAGAGAAUUAAGUACGAGAGUAUAAGUACUUGAACUCAAACCUGUGUGCUCUUGUGAUAAGGAACCCGUACAAUCCAUGACUCGAUCAAGAUCUAAAGGUAGAAAUGGAACGAAAAUGUGUAAGUAUGUAUUAGAUUAUGUAUUUGAAAGAAACUAAUAGUGUGUUAUGUGCAAGGUAAGCUUAAGAUCUUGAAGAGGAUGAUCCGUGAAUACAGAAUGGGAUGAACGCUAAGGCGGGCAAAGGGGCAAAUAGGCAAAUUAACCCCAGGUACACAUUACUAAUAUGUAUGAGUACCGAUGUCAAAAGAAAAAGGAAGGGGUCUCCUUGGGAGGGAAAUUAUUAAACGAAAGACAAUGAUGUGGUCUUGGGGAAGUUUUAGAAAUGUGCACGAAACUGAAACCCAUUUCUCGGGCAUAAGGCGAUGAUUACACGAAGGCACGAAACUAGUGUGUGAAUUGCGCACCUGGCCAGUACGCAAGAAGCAUAUGACGUUCGUGAGACCGUGGCAAUUAUUGCAGGUAUGUCCGGUAGAACUGGGUAGCAGGUGGGCGCUAUGUUGUAGCGAAUCCGAAAUAGCAAAUCCAUUGCGGAUUUGGUUAUGCUAACGAAGGUUAUGAAAAGUUAUGCGAGUCAACCGGUUCUAGCGAACAAGUCGAAUAAGAAUAAGCUACCAUCCGUUUUGAACGGGUGAUUUUGAAUGCUCUAGUGAAUGCUAGAAGCUUAAUCCGUUAUACGGAUUGAAAGAAGAAGUUAUGAUUAAAUGUGAAAAACCCAAUUAUUUGGGUAGUGGAAAAUGUGUAUGCUUAACUCUCGUUGAGAGUGUUUAUGCCAAACCCAAUUAUUUGGGUAGUGGAAUGUGUAUGCUUAACUCUCGUUGAGAGUGUUUAUGCCAAACCCAAUUAUUUGGGUAGUGGAAUGUGUAUGCUUAACUCUCGUUGAGAGUGUUUAUGCCAAACCCAAUUAUUUGGGUAGUGGAAUGUGUAUGCUUAACUCUCGUUGAGAGUGUUUAUGCCAAACCCAAUUAUUUGGGUAGUCGAAUGUGUAUGCUUAACUCUCUUUGAGAGUGUUUAUGCCAAACCCAAUUACUUGGGUAGCCGAAUGUGUAAGAAAGAAGAAAGCUCAUAUGUGGAUGGAACUAAAAUGAAGUGAUUAUGAUUCGACAACUGAGAUGACUAACUUUAAAAUCUUGUUGCCGAAGGUAGGUAAAACUUUAAGUUUUUGCUAGAGCACAUGUAAGAAAGAAAAGGUACGAAUGAUAUGUUUGAAGCCGAUAGUGUGUAAGUUAAGAUUUUUCCUUAAGGCGGAUGUGGGAUUUUAAGUUCAUAUGAUAGAAUGUGAAUUUACAAGCGUGUAGGAAGAAACGGGAGGUUAAACGGGUAAACGGUUCAAAAGACACGCGCGUUUUAGUGCGUUCGGACGACGAAACGGAUCUGCAGUAAAGGGACUUUUCUAGAGGCCGUCGCCGACGGGUUCCCACCCCGUCGCCGACGGGCUCCCAAAAGUGUGAAAGAGGCCGACGGCCUAACCGACUGGUUACGGGUUAAAUUGGACGACGGGCAUUUUAAGAGGCCGUCGCCGACGGGUGCCCACCCCGUCGCCGACGGGCUGUCUAGCCCACUUCUCCGUUUUGCUUAAUUUUGCAUUUCCAAAUGAUCCGUAACGCAUUCCGAUGAUUCGUAAAGUUUCUUAUGAGCAUAUAGGGAUGUACAUAAGUAGAUAAGCGUGUAAGUAUGUUUAUAUGUAACCGUAUAUGUACGUAGAACUUAUGCAAGUAGGUAUGCGCGAAAGUAUGUAAGUUUAUAGUGUGGGAACAAGUACUAGUUAUGUAUGUAUAAAUGUGUAUGUAUAGAUAUCGGUUUAUGUAGGUACGCAAGUAUUUAUAUAAGAGCACAAGCAUCAUGCGAAUGAAUAUGAAAAUGUGUACGUAUGUAUGCAUGAUGAUAUGUAUGAGCGUAUGCAUGUAUGCGAAAAAUAUAGGAAAUGUGUGUACAUAUGUAGAUGUAUAAAUAUAUGAGUAUGUAAGUACAUAUAUGAUGUAUGAGUAGAAUGAAAUAAAUCGAUUUAUUUCGAUUAGUAAAUGUAUGAAUGUAAUAUGCUUAAAUAGGAAAUUAGAAACAAGCCGUAGACUUAAGUUUGUAUGAAUAAUAAUUGUAUACAAUUGGAAUAGAUUCAAUGAAUGAAAUGCAAGGGAUGAUAUGUGCUAGAAACUAGCAAUAUGAAAUGAAGGACACUAAUAAGAGCUCUGGAGCAGAAUCUAACAUAAGUAUAGUUAUGAAAGUAACUUACUUAUUAUAAGGGCAUAGGAACGAUGUGUAUGAUUACGUACAUACAUGAAUUAAACAUUUGCCAAGAUCCCAAAUGCGUUUAGGUUGUAGUAAGUAUAGUGGAUGAACAACUUGAAAGAGGUAAGAGUAGAAUGGUCUAGUUUGAAUGAGAAAGGUUUCGGGGACGAAACCUCUUUUAAAGGGGGGUAGACUUGUAACGCCCCAAAAUUAUGCAAAUUAAUUAUGUUACUUAAGAUGUCUAGUCAUGUAUUAUUUUACCUAGUUAAGUAUGUAUAUGUUAGUAACUUGAUUAGAAGGAAGGUUAUAUGACAAAUAAAAUAUCUAAGUAAAUAGGAGGACUAAACUUGUUAAAAGGUUGAAAGUUUAAUAAAUAAAAGAAAAAAAUAAAAACACACACCCUGGUGUGAUGGCGUGGAUCGAUCAGAGCAAAGGGGGGAGAAGACAAACCCUAACUUCAUGAAAUUCUCAAGAAUUGAAAGAGAAUAGGAGCCCAAACUAAUGCAUGAACUCGAAACCUCAAUCAUCUAAGCUUGUACAACAAGCGGAACGUGUCAAGGAGAGGUCAAGCAUAGGAGGAUAACGGGUCAAGAUAAGGCAAGAUGACAAAUACACGUAUUGGAGUACUCGAGGUAAGUGAAUUUCGAUUCACUUUUUAGUAGGUUUAAUAGAUUUUAAUACUUAUGUUUACGAAACAUCAUGAAAGAACAUGUAAUAAUCAGAAGUACAAAGCCAAUAAUGCCUCAUUAUUGAAGAAGGUUGUAUUUAAGCCGAAAGUAAAUUGGUGGGUUUAAACGGGUCGAAUUUUAUGUGCAUAUGUUGCGUAAUGAAAUGAAAUUCGUUAUGGUUAAGACCUUGGGUAAGAAUUUUAGUCAUUAUGUAAGGGGAACAUUUCCCGGACCAUUAGGUACAAGUUUUAUAUGAUUCGGUUGUCGGUCAAUGAAUGAACGGAUUGUUUCGUUUUAGUGUAGGAAAUUUUAUAAGUAUAUGUGUAUAGGAAUCCAAAGGCCACGUGGGUUGAAUCGUAGAUUGUCUAUACUAUGUAAAGUUUUGAAUGUGACAUUCCGGCAUAAACCUACAUGUAAAAGAAGCUUGUGUAUAUAUUCGUGAUUAAUUGAUUGUGCGAAGGAAGGAACAUUGGCAUGAAUGAAGGUACGCACAUAUAUAUAUAAGUGUAUAUAUAUAUAUAUAUGUAUGUAUGUAUGAUAAUAAGUUCGUAGGUGUGAAUGUAUGUGUGAAUGAAUGUUCAAUGCUUAAGACAUAUGCAUGAACGUAUCAAAGGGUUCGAGUAUUUAUGGAUACUAAUGAUGUGCGUUGAGUUGGAAUGUAAUGUAGGUAUGGGGUCGUUGGCUUCAUGAAGAAAUGGAGCUGGAUUUGGAUAAGAGUAUUUAAGAAAGCGCUUGGACAAUUCCACGACUACUUUAUAGAAUGCUCUACGAAAUUUUAUUAUAUAGUUUAAUGUUGAAUGGUAUGUUAAUAACUAAUGGUUUGGUUGUACGUGGUGUCCACAGGUAUCGCUUGGGUUUUCUCUACUUUUAUUGAAGUGAAGCGGACUUAGUUCGAGUUGAGAGCAAGGAUUGUACGGGGUAGAAUGGUCACAUAGUGUAACUCAUAUAGGUUUUGAAGUAUUAAUGUUAUAAAACGUUAUAAAUCCGUUUUAAUGAAUAUAUGGCAUUUCGCAUUUGAA
Long non-coding RNA from Helianthus annuus (common sunflower), 5668 nucleotides. RefSeq lists it as uncharacterized. The transcript has 3 exons. Lineage: Eukaryota; Viridiplantae; Streptophyta; Magnoliopsida; Asterales; Asteraceae. The record is from RefSeq and is a predicted model, not a curated record.